GGCAACACCAUCCGUGAGCAAUACACGCUGCUGUUAUAACCCUGCUGUGAAAAGGUGGAGCAAGUUCAGUAAACAAAAAUACUUUGCCUUGGUUCAAAUUGUGGUGAAACAAAGCAUCAGCCAGCGCUGGCUGUUCAAUUAAACUGUUUGUAGUGCAGGCUUUGGAGAGGAAAAUGCUGAAAAAAGGAUUUGGGGAUCGUACGUUUUGCAUGGAGAAAACGUUUAAUGAGAAAUUUUCCAAACCUCUUUGCAGCUCACAGGCAGCACUCUUCCCCUGCAUGUGACAUGUGCAUUGCCCUCAAAUUCAGAGGAUGGCUCACAGCUGCUGUGACUGCAACCAGGAUGUAUGUGGGGCUGAGAAUUGCCCAUGGGAGCCAGGAGGGGAGCAGUUUGCUGUUGUGCACCAUCUCUAGUCUCUUCAGGGAACUGCCAGUUCUGCAUUUCCUUACAGCAUAUUUCCAUCCAAGAGAGCUUCUCCUCAGCUUCCCUGAUCUGUCAGAUGCUCAUUAUUUUGUUAUUUCCAUUCUCCUGUGUGAUUGUGCUGGCGGGAAGAGACACUCAGGUAGCUUUUCCUUUUGGGAUGUGAAUUAAGGACUAGUCUGAUAGGGAUGCAGAACUGAAAGGGGGCCACUGGAAAGCUCCCAAAUCCUUCUGGCGGUGGGAUGCCCAGGUGGGACCAAAUGGGGACUGCAGCAGAGAGAGAGCUGCUUGGAGAACAGAUCCAGAUUUAGAUGGGCCUUCUAUGCAGGGCAGCACAUAGGAAGGGGUGAUCUGCAGCAGCCCACCCCCUACACACUUUAAUGCCUCCUGGGAGCAUUCUCCAUACACGUCAGGACCGAGAUGACAAGGUCUGCUAAUACCUUGAUUCUUCAGUUUAUAUUCAUACUGUAAGCUCAGAAGAACGACAGUGUUCCCCACCUGCAGAGCCCGGCGUCGAUGUGGGUUUGGCUGAAGUCUCCGUACAGCGGCACCACCUACACAACUGACAUUACUGUGCUGGCCUGAAUUCCUUCACUUUUCCCCCGUGGCCAUUUGGAGUCAAGUGCCACUGGAAACACGGCUCCCGCCAGGAGGAAUUUCAGAUGCAUUCAGAUCUGAGACAGUUUUGAAUGUAAUUUUGAGUUUUACAAAGGCUCUUCCGCUCGCUUGCUUGCCGCAAGUAAUGAAGCAGCAAGAUAAAAGGCAAGGCCACGGAAGGUUGUUAAAAAAUUACUUGCAAAUUAAUGUGAGGACAAGGUGUAUGAGUUAAUAUCAUAUAAAGACCCUUAAAAUCGGCAUACAUGCAUGCACCCUCCGAGCACUGACAUUCGCAGGCAGAGCUACACUGGUAAACUGAGCCCAAGGGGCUUGAUUAACAGGAAAUUUUCAGAAUGCCAAUUAGAGCAAAGUUUACCGAACAAAUUGUUUGCACUUGUACCCUAGAACCAUCAUGAAUUUUAAUUCAGCAUGGAUUUACGUGGCUGAAACAAUAAUUAAAGAUACAUGAACGCUUCACGUUUGGGAGACUCCCCCAUGGCUCUGCUGCGUUGGGUGGGAGCAAGGUAUCUGGGCAGGGGCUGCUGCUGCCAGGCUGGUGGGUGUGGGAUGCAUGUGGCUUUUCCCUGCAGAUACAUAAGGCAGUUUCCCUAGUCCUGAGCUCACCAAUUUGUGCAGUGUUAGUCUCUUGUUUCUUUUUUCUUUUUCCUCUUUUUUUUUUUUUCUUUUUUUCUUUUUUUUCCCCUUUAUGCUAUCUGACAAAGAAUGAUCCAUGGGGUGUUUUCUCAAUAAAUGCUAGCUUGUUGUUUCCUGCCUUUCA
RNAcentral lists this long non-coding RNA (1795 nucleotides) under Phasianus colchicus (ring-necked pheasant). RNAcentral's name for it is "lncRNA (ENSPCLG00000008489.1)". Lineage: Eukaryota; Metazoa; Chordata; Aves; Galliformes; Phasianidae. The record is from RNAcentral.